GACGAACGCUGGCGGCGUGCUUAACACAUGCAAGUCGAACGGAAAGGCCCUGCUUUUGUGGGGUGCUCGAGUGGCGAACGGGUGAGUAACACGUGAGGAACCUGCCCUUGACUUUGGGAUAACUUCAGGAAACUGGGGCUAAUACCGGAUAGGAGCUCCUGCUGCAUGGGGGGGGUUGGAAAGUUUCGGCGGUUGGGGCUGGUCUCGCGGCUUAUCAGCUUGUUGGUGGGGUAGUGGCUUACCAAGGCUUUGACGGGUAGCCGGCCUGAGAGGGUGACCGGCGACAUUGGGACUGAGAUACGGCCCAGACUCCUACGGGAGGCAGCAGUGGGGAAUAUUGCACAAUGGGCGGAAGCCUGAUGCAGCAACGCCGCGUGCGGGAUGACGGCCUUCGGGUUGUAAACCGCUUUCGCCUGUAACGAAGCGUGAGUGACGGUAAUGGGUAAAGAAGCACCGGCUAACUACGUG
This 468-nucleotide ribosomal RNA is filed under the name uncultured bacterium. RNAcentral's name for it is "partial 16S ribosomal RNA". It matches the Rfam family "Bacterial small subunit ribosomal RNA", at positions 28 to 507 of the family's 1533-position model. The record is from RNAcentral.